RNAcentral lists this ribosomal RNA (2880 nucleotides) under Stenotrophomonas maltophilia. RNAcentral's name for it is "23S ribosomal RNA". It matches the Rfam family "Bacterial large subunit ribosomal RNA". The record is from RNAcentral. Lineage: Bacteria; Pseudomonadati; Pseudomonadota; Gammaproteobacteria; Lysobacterales; Lysobacteraceae.
GGUCAAGCGAAUAAGCGCACACGGUGGAUGCCUUGGCGGUCAGAGGCGAUGAAGGACGUGGCAGCCUGCGAAAAGUAUCGGGGAGCUGGCAACAAGCUUUGAUCCGGUAAUGUCCGAAUGGGGAAACCCACCCGCUUGCGGGUAUCCUGCAGUGAAUACAUAGCUGCUGGAAGCGAACCUGGUGAACUGAAAUAUCUAAGUAACCAGAGGAAAAGAAAUCAACCGAGAUUCCGUAAGUAGCGACGAGCGAACGCGGACUAGCCCUUAAGCUGAUUUGGUUCUAGGAAAAUGCUCUGGAAAGAGCAGCCAUAGAAGGUGAUAGCCCUGUAUCUGAAAGGGCCAUUUCAGUGAAGACGAGUAGGGCGGGGCACGUGAAACCCUGUCUGAACAUGGGGGGACCAUCCUCCAAGGCUAAAUACUACUGACCGACCGAUAGUGAACCAGUACCGUGAGGGAAAGGCGAAAAGAACCCCGGAGAGGGGAGUGAAAUAGAACCUGAAACCGUGUGCGUACAAGCAGUAGGAGCUCCGCAAGGAGUGACUGCGUACCUUUUGUAUAAUGGGUCAGCGACUUACUGUUCGUGGCAAGCUUAACCGUAUAGGGGAGGCGAAGGGAAACCGAGUCUGAUAAGGGCGCAUAGUCGCGGGCAGUAGACCCGAAACCGGGUGAUCUAGUCAUGCCCAGGGUGAAGGUGCGGUAACACGCACUGGAGGCCCGAACCCACUCCCGUUGCAAAGGUAGGGGAUGAGGUGUGAUUAGGAGUGAAAAGCUAAUCGAACCCGGAGAUAGCUGGUUCUCCUCGAAAGCUAUUUAGGUAGCGCCUCAUAUGUAUCCUCUCGGGGGUAGAGCACUGUUAUGGCUAGGGGGUCAUCGCGACUUACCAAACCAUUGCAAACUCCGAAUACCGAGACGGACUGUAUGGGAGACACACGGCGGGUGCUAACGUCCGUCGUGAAAAGGGAAACAACCCAGACCCACAGCUAAGGUCCCAAAUUUUGUGCUAAGUGGAAAACCAUGUGGAAAGGCACAGACAGCCAGGAGGUUGGCUUAGAAGCAGCCACCCUUUAAAGAAAGCGUAAUAGCUCACUGGUCGAGUCGGUCUGCGGGGAAGAUUUAACGGGGCUAAGCACAGAACCGAAGCUUGGGGUGCAUAACUUUGUUAUGCGCGGUAGAGGAGCGUUCCGUAAGCCGUUGAAGGUGGAUUGAGAAGUCUGCUGGAGGUAUCGGAAGUGCGAAUGCUGACAUGAGUAACGAUAAUGCGGGUGAAAAACCCGCACGCCGAAAGCCCAAGGUUUCCUUGCGCAACGUUAAUCGGCGCAGGGUGAGUCGGCCCCUAAGGCGAGGACGAAAGUCGUAGUCGAUGGGAAGCAGGUUAAUAUUCCUGCACCUCGCGUAAGUGCGAUGGAGGGACGGAGAAGGUUAGGUGUACCAGGCGUUGGUUGUCCUGGGGAAAGGCGGUAGGUUUGGAUCUUUGGCAAAUCCGGGAUCCUUUAAGACCGAGCACCGAGACGAGCCUUUAUGGCGAAGUCACUGAUACCACGCUUCCAGGAAAAGCUCCUAAGCUUCAGCUUACGCAGACCGUACCGUAAACCGACACAGGUGGGUAGGAUGAGAAUUCUCAGGCGCUUGAGAGAACUCGGGUGAAGGAACUAGGCAACAUGGCACCGUAACUUCGGGAGAAGGUGCACCCUUUUUGGUGGCUCGUGCGAGCUAUAGCUGAAGAGGGUCGCAGUAACCAGGCCGCUGCGACUGUUUAUCAAAAACACAGCACUCUGCAAACACGAAAGUGGACGUAUAGGGUGUGACGCCUGCCCGGUGCUGGAAGGUUAAUUGAUGGGGUCAGCCGCAAGGCGAAGCUCUUGAUCGAAGCCCCAGUAAACGGCGGCCGUAACUAUAACGGUCCUAAGGUAGCGAAAUUCCUUGUCGGGUAAGUUCCGACCUGCACGAAUGGCGUAACGACAGCGGCGCUGUCUCCACCCGAGACUCAGUGAAAUUGAAAUCGCUGUGAAGAUGCAGCGUUCCCGUGGCAAGACGGAAAGACCCCGUGAACCUUUACUAUAGCUUUACACUGAACGUUGAGUUCGUCUGUGUAGGAUAGGUGGGAGGCUAUGAAACUGUGGCGCUAGCUGCAGCGGAGCCAUCCUUGAAAUACCACCCUGUCGUGCUUGACGUUCUAACCUGGGCCCAUUAUCUGGGUCGGGGACCGUGUAUGGUGGGUAGUUUGACUGGGGCGGUCUCCUCCUAAAGAGUAACGGAGGAGCUCGAAGGUACGCUCAGCGCGGUCGGACAUCGCGCACUGUGUGCAAAGGCAUAAGCGUGCUUGACUGCAAGAUCGACGGAUCAAGCAGGUAGGAAACUAGGACUUAGUGAUCCGGUGGUUCUGUAUGGAAGGGCCAUCGCUCAACGGAUAAAAGGUACUCCGGGGAUAACAGGCUGAUACCGCCCAAGAGUUCAUAUCGACGGCGGUGUUUGGCACCUCGAUGUCGGCUCAUCACAUCCUGGGGCUGUAGUCGGUCCCAAGGGUAUGGCUGUUCGCCAUUUAAAGUGGUACGCGAGCUGGGUUCAGAACGUCGUGAGACAGUUCGGUCCCUAUCUGCCAUGGGCGUUGGAGAUUUGAGAGGGGCUGCUCCUAGUACGAGAGGACCGGAGUGGACGAACCUCUGGUGUUCCGGUUGUCACGCCAGUGGCAUUGCCGGGUAGCUAUGUUCGGAAGCGAUAACCGCUGAAAGCAUCUAAGCGGGAAGCGCGCCUCAAGAUGAGAUCUCCCGGGGCACAAGCCCCCUGAAGGAACCAUGUAGACUACGUGGUUGAUAGGUCAGGUGUGUAAGUACAGCAAUGUAUUGAGCUAACUGAUACUAAUGAUCCGAGAGGCUUGACCAU